AGAAGUCUCUUCGGGGAUGAUUAAACCGGCGCACGGGUGAGUAACACGUGAGUGACCUGCCUUUUAGACUGGAACAACUUACCGAAAGGUGAGCUAAUGCCGGAUGAGUUAUAUAAGUGCAUGUUUAUAUAGGAAAAGUUGGGGAGACCUGACGCUGAAAGAUGGACUCGCGUCCCAUUAGCUAGUUGGUAGGGUAAUGGCCUACCAAGGCGACGAUGGGUAGCCGGCCUGAGAGGGUGGCCGGCCACACUGGGACUGAGACACGGCCCAGACUCCUACGGGAGGCAGCAGUGGGGAAUUUUGCGCAAUGCUCGUAAGAGUGACGCGGCGACGCCGCGUGAAUGACGAAGGCCUUCGGGUCGUAAAGUUCUUUCGACAGGGAAGAAAAUGCCUAUAAGUAACUGUGUAUGUAUUGACGGUACCUGUAUAAGCAGCCCCGGCUAACUCCGUGCCAGCAGCCGCGGUAAUACGGAGGGGGCGAGCGUUGUCCGGAGUGACUGGGCGUAAAGAGCACGUAGGCGGUGUUGUAAGUCAUUAGUCAAAGACUAGAGCUCAACUUUAGUAAGGCUAGUGAUACUAUAAUACUAGAGUAUCAGAGAGGAUUGCAGAAUUCCUGGUGUAGCGGUGAAAUGCGUAGAUAUCAGGAGGAAUACCGUUAGCGAAGGCGGCAAUCUGGCUGGAAACUGACGCUGAGGUGCGAAAGCGUGGGUAGCAAACAGGAUUAGAUACCCUGGUAGUCCACGCUGUAAACGAUGGAU
This 758-nucleotide ribosomal RNA is filed under the name uncultured bacterium. RNAcentral describes it as "bacterial SSU rRNA". It matches the Rfam family "Bacterial small subunit ribosomal RNA", at positions 70 to 814 of the family's 1533-position model. The record is from RNAcentral.